UUCAAAGUUCAUUUUGUCGGUGCCAUUUUAAAAGGUUUUUAUAUUUAUUUUAUCUUGAAAAGUAUUCAAUUAAGAAGUUACAAAGUUGGCAUUCACUCUUUACGAUAAGGGAGAGGAGAGAGAUACAAAAGGGAUAUUCAAAAUCGAAGACAAACUGAAAAUGCUAUGGCAAAAAAAAAACGAAAAAAAGAAAAGAAAAACAACAAUACAUAAAACACAACAUAGAAAACUAAAGAUUGAGCAACAAACCCCACCAAAUGUGCCACCUGUUGUGUUGCUCAAACAUUUUAUUUGAAUUAUCAAAAGUAUUAGUUAUUGUAUUAAUUACUCAAGUCGUUCUGGAUCUUAAAAAACGACUGUGAAAUAAAACACUUAAGCGUCAACAAAAAAAAAAUGCUCAAAACAAUAUACAUACAUUGACAUAGAAUAUUAGAUUAGUUGCACUAUCUUUUGUCUAUCCCGGAUAAAUUCACGUGGGUCUCAAUAUUUUUACUUUAACUGAAGCUCGAAAAAAAAACAAUGUACAUUGUAUAUUUUCAAAACAAAUGGAUUUAGUUAUAUUUAGCACAAAAGGUAAUAUAAGAUACGUUUUCUAAAUGAGUUUAUCACGUUUAAAAUCAUAAUUCAUGAAUCACAGCCAGUUUUGCUUAAAGUUGACGUCACCAUUGCCUAGAAACCAGAAUCAAAUAUGUCCAAGCCAAAGAAGAUCAAGAAAGAUCCUGAUUACAUAUCAACGGAAGAAUUCAUGAAAAUCAUUUCUCCUUUUGUAUGCCAUGAUUUAACACUUAAAGUAGGCAAAAUACAGUUUCAUGUCAACAAAAAGCAACUCAUGGAUACAUCACCAGUUUUCAACCAAAUGUUGAGCGCUGAUUUCAAAGAGAAAAAUGCGAAAGAAAUAAUUCUCAAGGGAAAGGAUCCGGGUGCAUUUAGUCUGUUUUUAAGAUACACCUUACCUGGCUUUGAAGAGAAUGAAUUAAAAGAAACGGACGCUCAUCUUAUUUUACCAAUAGCACAUGAAUAUCAAACCGAAAAAUCUUUAACAAGAAUUGAUGCAUCAUUGACAGAAUAUUCCACAGAAAUGGCAGAUACCUUGACUUCAGAACAAGUAAUAGAUAGUAUUAUAGAGGCGGAGUUUUUUGGAUUGUCGGAAUACUUGGAGACAUGCAUUAAAAUUGCAUCUCACAAAACUUUCAAUGCACUAGCAAAAAUAAAAAUUUUAAUAAAAUAUCAAAAGAUACUAGAUACACUAUUUCUAUGGAGAGAUGGGAAGAGUUGGAUGACACUUAUAGAGAAAAUCAAUACGAAGUAGGCAGGUCAUUCAUGUUUCAAAAUUGAAUAUCCUAGCCAUUAACUGAAUGUUGAAAGAGAUAAUAGUAUUAAUAAUGAUUAUAUUACUAAUUCUUUACAAAUAUUGAUUAAUAUAUAGAUCUAGAGUGACUUUUAGAUUAUAAAGUUUUUUU
Long non-coding RNA from Mytilus californianus (California mussel), 1460 nucleotides. RefSeq lists it as uncharacterized. NCBI's taxonomy places the organism in Eukaryota, Metazoa, Mollusca, Bivalvia, Mytilida, Mytilidae. The record is from RefSeq and is a predicted model, not a curated record. The transcript is spliced from 2 exons.